Trichosporon asahii var. asahii CBS 8904 is the source of this 87-nucleotide transfer RNA. It matches the Rfam family "tRNA". From Rfam's summary of the family: Transfer RNA (tRNA) molecules are approximately 80 nucleotides in length. Their secondary structure includes four short double-helical elements and three loops (D, anti-codon, and T loops). The record is from Rfam. Lineage: Eukaryota; Fungi; Basidiomycota; Tremellomycetes; Trichosporonales; Trichosporonaceae.
GGGUUGUUGAUCCAGUGGUUAAGAUGGCUGCCUUCCAUUACUUGGAAGAUAUAGCAGCUUACCGGGGUUCGAAUCCCCGACAACUCA